CCUACGGGGGGCAGCAGUGGGGAAUAUUGCACAAUGGGCGCAAGCCUGAUGCAGCCAUGCCGCGUGUGUGAAGAAGGCCUUCGGGUUGUAAAGCACUUUCAGCGGGGAGGAAGGCGGUGAGGUUAAUAACCUCAUCGAUUGACGUUACCCGCAGAAGAAGCACCGGCUAACUCCGUGCCAGCAGCCGCGGUAAUACGGAGGGUGCAAGCGUUAAUCGGAAUUACUGGGCGUAAAGCGCACGCAGGCGGUCUGUCAAGUCGGAUGUGAAAUCCCCGGGCUCAACCUGGGAACUGCAUUCGAAACCGGCAGGCUAGAGUCUUGUAGGGGGGGGUAGAAUUCCAGGUGUAGCGGUGAAAUGCGUAGAGAUCUGGAGGAAUACCGGUGGCGAAGGCGGCCCCCUGGACAAAGACUGACGCUCAGGUGCGAAAGCGUGGGGGGCAAACAGGAUUAGAUACCCUGGUAGUC
This 465-nucleotide ribosomal RNA is filed under the name uncultured Klebsiella sp. Its description in RNAcentral is "bacterial SSU rRNA". It matches the Rfam family "Bacterial small subunit ribosomal RNA", at positions 338 to 795 of the family's 1533-position model. The record is from RNAcentral. Lineage: Bacteria; Pseudomonadati; Pseudomonadota; Gammaproteobacteria; Enterobacterales; Enterobacteriaceae.